UACAGAGGCCCCAAGCGUUAUCCGGAAUAACUGGGCGUAAAGCGUUCGUAGGCGGAAUAGUGCGUCUGCUGUUAAAUCAAUGGGCUCAACCCAUUGCUCGCGUUGGAUACGGCUAUUCUAGAGGCAGGGAGAGGUAAGUGGAACUCCUAGUGGAGCAGUGAAAUGCGUUGAUAUUAGGGGGAACACCAAUUGCGAAGGCAGCUUACUGGUCCUGUCCUGACGCUGAGGGACGAAAGCGUGGGGAGCGAAUGGG
This 253-nucleotide unclassified non-coding RNA is filed under the name uncultured Parcubacteria group bacterium. RNAcentral's name for it is "contains 16S-23S intergenic spacer region". It matches the Rfam family "Bacterial small subunit ribosomal RNA", at positions 524 to 776 of the family's 1533-position model. The record is from RNAcentral.